Molecule: long non-coding RNA, 572 nt
Organism: Ornithodoros turicata
Lineage: Eukaryota; Metazoa; Arthropoda; Arachnida; Ixodida; Argasidae
Exons: 4
Source: RefSeq, a predicted model, not a curated record
CGUACUGUGCUCGCAAUAUCCACAAUCUGACUCAGAUACACGAUGUCUGUCCAAAACGGUGACAGGUACUGGAGCAGUGGCGCAGCCGCCGACGCGAACGAGAAGGUCCUCGGCACGUGUGGCCGUUUUCCGGAAGCCCUAUUAUACCACGUGGAGAGAAUAUGAAGUCGUUUCCCACCCAAGUUGUACAAAUUGCCUUCGAUCCUGGAGAAAGCACUGAUUCUGCACCUCCAUGCAACAGCAAGUCAAAUCAAGCCACACCCAGGUUUGCAAAGAGCUUCGUGGUCAACACUAUAACAACCUGCCUACUGGGGAGAACUCACCAAGUAUAUGAUACCAUCAAAGUUUAUCACUCCAUCAAACAUCUUCUCAGAUGCUUCUUACACAAAGUUGGCAACAUGAAUAGCCACCUUCUGGUGUUAAGUCAGGGUUGCAGUUGUAGAUUGGUUUCCCAAUAACCCAAUGAAGUAAUAGGGCGAGUGAAUGCCCCCCCUGCACCUCGUUUGCACCUACCCAAGACUUCUAUUUUUACACCAGCUUGAAGAGAAGAUAUUCUCCCCGAAAUUCUUGAA